This 115-nucleotide ribosomal RNA is filed under the name Macrococcus brunensis. The record is from RNAcentral. Lineage: Bacteria; Bacillati; Bacillota; Bacilli; Caryophanales; Staphylococcaceae.
CCUGGUGAUGAUGGCAGAGAGGUCACACCUGUUCCCAUACCGAACACAGAAGUUAAGCUCUCUAGCGCCGAUGGUAGUUGGACUUACGUUCCGCGAGAGUAGGAUGUUGCCGGAC